RNAcentral lists this ribosomal RNA (465 nucleotides) under Vreelandella stevensii. Its description in RNAcentral is "partial 16S ribosomal RNA". It matches the Rfam family "Bacterial small subunit ribosomal RNA", at positions 338 to 795 of the family's 1533-position model. The record is from RNAcentral. Lineage: Bacteria; Pseudomonadati; Pseudomonadota; Gammaproteobacteria; Oceanospirillales; Halomonadaceae.
CCUACGGGUGGCAGCAGUGGGGCAUAUUGGACAAUGGGCGAAAGCCUGAUCCAGCCAUGCCGCGUGUGUGAAGAAGGCCUUCGGGUUGUAAAGCACUUUCAGUGGGGAAGAAAGCCUUGGGGCUAAUACCCUCGAGGAAGGACAUCACCCACAGAAGAAGCACCGGCUAACUCCGUGCCAGCAGCCGCGGUAAUACGGAGGGUGCGAGCGGUAAUCGGAAUUACUGGGCGUAAAGCGCGCGUAGGCGGUCUGAUAAGCCGGUUGUGAAAGCCCCGGGCUCAACCUGGGAACGGCAUCCGGAACUGUCAGGCUAGAGUGCAGGAGAGGAAGGUAGAAUUCCCGGUGUAGCGGUGAAAUGCGUAGAGAUCGGGAGGAAUACCAGUGGCGAAGGCGGCCUUCUGGACUGACACUGACGCUGAGGUGCGAAAGCGUGGGUAGCAAACAGGAUUAGAUACCCCAGUAGUC